Haemonchus contortus (barber pole worm) is the source of this 75-nucleotide non-coding RNA. NCBI's taxonomy places the organism in Eukaryota, Metazoa, Nematoda, Chromadorea, Rhabditida, Trichostrongylidae. The record is from Rfam.
GGCACAAACUUGAAAUGGAGUAGAUUGGUAUGGUCAACUGAUUCUACUUAUCUACUUCACUUCGCAUUUGGGCCC